Molecule: ribosomal RNA, 492 nt
Filed under: uncultured bacterium
Lineage: Bacteria
Description: partial 16S ribosomal RNA
Rfam family: Bacterial small subunit ribosomal RNA
Source: RNAcentral
AUUGAACGCUGGCGGCAUGCUUUACACAUGCAAGUCGAACGGUAACAGGCCUUCGGGUGCUGACGAGUGGCGAACGGGUGAGUAAUGCAUCGGAACGUACCCAGAGGUGGGGGAUAACGCAGCGAAAGCUGUGCUAAUACCGCAUGUGAUCUGAGGAUGAAAGCGGGGGACCGAGCAGCAAUGUUUGGCCUCGCGCCUUUGGAGCGGCCGAUGUCGGAUUAGCUAGUUGGUGGGGUAAAGGCCUACCAAGGCGACGAUCCGUAGCUGGUCUGAGAGGACGACCAGCCACACUGGGACUGAGACACGGCCCAGACUCCUACGGGAGGCAGCAGUGGGGAAUUUUGGACAAUGGGCGCAAGCCUGAUCCAGCAAUGUCGCGUGCGGGAAGAAGGCCUUCGGGUUGUAAACCGCUUUUGGCAGGAACGAAACGGUGUCCGCUAAUACCGGGCGCUAAUGACGGUACCUGCAGAAUAAGCACCGGCUAACUACGUG